This 110-nucleotide ribosomal RNA is filed under the name Ulva intestinalis (hollow green seaweed). Its description in RNAcentral is "partial 5.8 ribosomal RNA". It matches the Rfam family "5.8S ribosomal RNA", at positions 52 to 154 of the family's 154-position model. From Rfam's summary of the family: 5.8S ribosomal RNA (5.8S rRNA) is a component of the large subunit of the eukaryotic ribosome. It is transcribed by RNA polymerase I as part of the 45S precursor that also contains 18S and 28S rRNA. The record is from RNAcentral. Lineage: Eukaryota; Viridiplantae; Chlorophyta; Ulvophyceae; Ulvales; Ulvaceae.
AAUGCGAUACGUAGUGUGAAUUGCAGAAUUCCGUGAAUCAUCGAAUCUUUGAACGCACAUUGCCGGUCGAGUCUUCGGAUGAGACCACAUCUGCCUCAGCGUCGGGAUAC